This 383-nucleotide ribosomal RNA is filed under the name uncultured Ehrlichia sp. Its description in RNAcentral is "bacterial SSU rRNA". It matches the Rfam family "Bacterial small subunit ribosomal RNA", at positions 70 to 489 of the family's 1533-position model. The record is from RNAcentral. Lineage: Bacteria; Pseudomonadati; Pseudomonadota; Alphaproteobacteria; Rickettsiales; Anaplasmataceae.
CCUUUUGGUUAUAAAUAAUUGUUAGUGGCAGACGGGUGAGUAAUGCGUAGGAAUCUACCUAGUAGUAUGGAAUAGCCAUUAGAAAUGAUGGGUAAUACUGUAUAAUCCCUGCGGGGGAAAGAUUUAUCGCUAUUAGAUGAGCCUACGUUAGAUUAGCUAGUUGGUAAGGUAAUGGCUUACCAAGGCUAUGAUCUAUAGCUGGUCUGAGAGGACGAUCAGCCACACUGGAACUGAGAUACGGUCCAGACUCCUACGGGAGGCAGCAGUGGGGAAUAUUGGACAAUGGGCGAAAGCCUGAUCCAGCUAUGCCGCGUGAGUGAAGAAGGCCUUCGGGUUGUAAAACUCUUUCAAUAGGGAAGAUAAUGACGGUACCUAUAGAAGAA